Molecule: long non-coding RNA, 1099 nt
Organism: Canis lupus familiaris (dog)
Lineage: Eukaryota; Metazoa; Chordata; Mammalia; Carnivora; Canidae
Exons: 4
Source: RefSeq, a predicted model, not a curated record
CGUUACUCAGUUUAAACUGGCUUUACUCUCUUCCAGGGGGACUUGAAAAGUGACAGCCUAAGACAAGUAGGGAAUGGAGAGCUGACUCCAGUGCACUACUGGCUACUGUUGAAAAGAAAAGAAGGAAGGGAGGAGAGAAAACAAGAAAAGAACUCAGGACGGUGGUUUCCAAAUUUGUAAAGCAGGAUGAGGCACACGAGACGUUCUCAACAAAUGACGGUGAUGGUUGGGAGAGCAGUGGUCUCCAGAGCUUCCAGAGUCUCAGCGGAGAGCUGUGAGAGGCGGUGCAGCCCGGCACCCCAAAGGGGUCUGUUCUGCCCACGUGUUCAGCAGGGCACACGUCUCAGAGAAAAAAGGCCUCCCCCGCUGCCACCGCCCAAGGAAUAGCUCCCAACCAGUGAUUGACGAGAACACCGGGCCGGCUCCCCAGGAUAACUCUGCAGUGCACGUUCUGGAGCAGCUCUGGGCAAUCCCCAAGAGGAGGGAGCCCUGGUGCCCACUGGCUUGAUGACACAGCAUUCAUUGAUUGCCUUUCCACCCUGUCCCCAUUCCCCCCUUGAGGUUCCCUGGGAUCGUCUCCAAAGAAGUUACUUGCACUUGAAUCCUAUUCCCAGGAACCAAAUUGUGACAGAUACAAACCGAAGAGCCCAGCUGAAUACCCCAAAGUGCUAUGAUGUCUGUACAGGCUGCAGGUGCCAAGAAUCCAUGGGUGACACCCGGAGACAGGCCUUUCGCCCUGGCUUCCCACAGUGGGAAACUGUUAUUCCUCUGGCUACUGGAGAUCUGCACUCCACGAAUCCGCCCACAGGUCCUCUUCUGGGAGCUUCCUUGGCAAUGUCCCUGGAGGCCAGGAGCCACGGUGGGCUGAUGCAAGAAGCCAGGAUGGUGUCUCUAGGCUGCUCCACGUCAACACGAGCAACUGAACAAGAAGAAGCACACUCCAUGCAGGCAAAUUGGAGCUUUCCCUCCAUUCUUUUGCUCCUUCUUUAUAAUAGGGUGUAAAAAUGGAAAAAUAUGUCAGCCUUUGGCCCCUUCUCUGUAAAAAGAUAAAAAUGUUUUAAAAGAUCGUAAUUAAAAAAAAUAAAUAAAUGAUCGUAAU